RNAcentral lists this ribosomal RNA (435 nucleotides) under uncultured bacterium. Its description in RNAcentral is "partial 16S ribosomal RNA". It matches the Rfam family "Bacterial small subunit ribosomal RNA", at positions 28 to 505 of the family's 1533-position model. The record is from RNAcentral.
GAUGAACGCUGGCGGCAUGCUUUACACAUGCAAGUCGGACGGGAAGUGGUGUUUCCCGUGGCGGACGGGUGAGUAACGCGUAAGAACCUGCCCUUGGGAGGGGAACAACAGCUGGAAACGGCUGCUAAUACCCCGUAGGCUGAGGAGCGAAAGGCGGAAUCCGCCCAAGGAGGGGCUCGCGUCUGAUUAGCUAGUUGGUGAGGUAAUAGCUUACCAAGGCCGUGAUCAGUAGCUGGUCCGAGAGGAUGAUCAGCCACACUGGGACUGAGACAAGGCCCAGACUCCUACGGGAGGCAGCAGUGGGGAAUUUUCCGCAAUGGGCGAAAGCCUGACGGAGCAAUGCCGCGUGGAGGUAAAAGGCCUACGGGUCAUGAACUUCUUUUCCUGGAGAAGAAACAAUGACGGUAUCUGGGGAAUAAGCAUCGGCUAACUCUG